This 497-nucleotide ribosomal RNA is filed under the name uncultured bacterium. Its description in RNAcentral is "partial 16S ribosomal RNA". It matches the Rfam family "Bacterial small subunit ribosomal RNA", at positions 28 to 507 of the family's 1533-position model. The record is from RNAcentral.
GAUGAACGCUGGCGGCGUGCCUAAUACAUGCAAGUCGAGCGAACGGACGAGAAGCUUGCUUCUCUGAUGUUAGCGGCGGACGGGUGAGUAACACGUGGAUAACCUACCUAUAAGACUGGGAUAACUUCGGGAAACCGUAGCUAAUACCGGAUAAUAUUUUGAACCGCAUGGUUCAAAAGUGAAAGACGGUCUUGCUGUCACUUAUAGAUGGAUCCGCGCUGCAUUAGCUAGUUGGUAAGGUAACGGCUUACCAAGGCAACGAUGCAUAGCCGACCUGAGAGGGUGAUCAGCCACACUGGAACUGAGACACGGUCCAGACUCCUACGGGAGGCAGCAGUAGGGAAUCUUGCGCAAUGGGCGAAAGCCUGACGGAGCAACGCCGCGUGAGUGAUGAAGGUCUUCGGAUCGUAAAGCUCUGUUAUUAGGGAAGAACAUAUGUGGAAGUAACUGUGCACAUCUUGACGGUACCUAAUCAGAAAGCAACGGCUAACUACGUG